UNUAGCGUGCGUACCCUAGAGAAAUCCUGGGC
Molecule: non-coding RNA, 32 nt
Filed under: Mus musculus (house mouse)
Lineage: Eukaryota; Metazoa; Chordata; Mammalia; Rodentia; Muridae
Source: RNAcentral